This 386-nucleotide ribosomal RNA is filed under the name uncultured Lactobacillus sp. RNAcentral's name for it is "bacterial SSU rRNA". It matches the Rfam family "Bacterial small subunit ribosomal RNA", at positions 168 to 525 of the family's 1533-position model. Lineage: Bacteria; Bacillati; Bacillota; Bacilli; Lactobacillales; Lactobacillaceae. The record is from RNAcentral.
ACCGGAUAAGAAAAGCAGAUCGCAUGAUAAGCUUUUAAAGGCGGCGUAAAGCUGUCGCUAUGGGGAUGGGCCCCGCGGUGCAUUAGCUAGUUGGCAAGGUAAAGGGCUUACCAAGGCGAUGAUGCAUAGCCCGAGUUGAGAGACUGAUCGGCCACAUUGGGGACUGAGACACGGGCCCAAACUCCUACGGGAGGCAGCAGUAGGGAAUCUUCCACAAUGGACGCAAGUCUGAUGGAGCAAACGCCGCGUGAGUGAAGAAGGUUUUCGGAUCGUAAAAAGCUCUGUUGUUGGUGAAGAAGGAUAGAGGUAGUAACUGGCCCUUUUAUUUGACGGUAAUCAACCCAGAAAGUCACGGGCUAACUACGUGCCCAGCAGCCGCGGUAAAU